RNAcentral lists this ribosomal RNA (501 nucleotides) under uncultured bacterium. RNAcentral describes it as "partial 16S ribosomal RNA". It matches the Rfam family "Bacterial small subunit ribosomal RNA", at positions 30 to 523 of the family's 1533-position model. The record is from RNAcentral.
AUUGAACGCUGGCGGCAGGCUUAACACAUGCAAGUCGAGCGGGGGAAGGUAGCUUGCUACCGGACCUAGCGGCGGACGGGUGAGUAAUGCUUAGGAAUCUGCCUAUUAGUGGGGGACAACGUCUCGAAAGGGAUGCUAAUACCGCAUACGUCCUACGGGAGAAAGCAGGGGAUCUUCGGACCUUGCGCUAACAGAUGAGCCUAAGUCGGAUUAGCUAGUUGGUGGGGUAAAGGCCUACCAAGGCGACGAUCUGUAGCGGGUCUGAGAGGAAGAUCCGCCACACUGGGACUGAGAAACGGCCCAGACUCCUACGGGAGGCAGCAGUGGGGAAUAUUGAACAAUGGGGGGAACCCUGAUCCAGCCAUGCCGCGUGUGUGAAGAAGGCCUUAUGGUUGUAAAGCACUUUAAGCGAGGAGGAGGCUACUUUAGUUAAUACCUAGAGAUAGUGGACGUUACUCGCAGAAUAAGCACCGGCUAACUCUGUGCCAGCCGCCGCAGUAA